CUUCCUUGGAGGGUGGAAUUCUUACAUUAAAGCCGCAGCUGUUUUGGGGUAGGCCGUAGGCGGAAGAAGGCAGAUCAGCAUGCUCUUCAAAAUUUUGCCGUUUCCUUCUGGAUUCGGCGGCGGGUGAGCCGACGGGGACGAAUUGGAGGAGCAAUUUGGCAGUAGCUUUUGCGUGGGAUGUCUGGAGAGCCGACGCAACGGAGCACAUAGGGCAGUUGGAGCAAGGUCAGGAUGAUUUUCUUUCCUUGGGGUUGUGCAUAGGCGGGCGUGGUAGCUGUGGAAUUGACCGCAGUCAGCGGUUGCUCAUCUUUGCCGCUGCUAUCUGCGAAGGGAGCAAUGGCUCGGUGACAAUGACUGAAUGGAUAGGAUAGGUGUUCAUGUGAGCAAUGACGGAAAAAUAAAUAGGAAAGCAAAGGUAUCAAAGGGGAAUGCUCCGGACAGAUGAAGUACGAAAAGGAAACAGUAAGAGGAUCGAUAAUGAACGUUGGUGUGGUGGAGUACCGAAUGAUGAACGAACAUGAAUCCUAUCUCAUAGAAUUCCUGGUCUUUGUUCCGGUUCUCCUAUGAUCGUGUGAUGCGUACAACAUCACUCCUUGGAGAUCCUCGAGAUUCAGGGGAAACUAAAGGGAAGACAAAAGAGGAGGAGGAGGAAAUUAGCAGCGAUAGCGAUGGCAGGAACCUCUUCAACAGGGUGCUUGUCUAAACUUAUCUCCCGCCUUCGAGAUUCUACAUCAGGCAACGCGGGAACAACAGAGGUACCAGACAACAGAGAAGCACGUACGGGCAGCAAAGAACAGGAAGAGCCAACAGCAACAGCAGAAGCACUAUCUUCCAAACGACGACGGCGACGAACAUGCGGAGAAAGAGAAGAGGAGAACGAUCGGCCACGCCGACGACCUGAUCGUUGGCUUGCACCUCCAAGAGGUUGUACGGCGGGUAAGGAACCAGCAUGAGGUAAAGUGGGAGGCCCAGAAGGUGGGCGAUCGGAGACAACAACAACAGCACCAGCAGCUGAACCAAAAGGUGGGGACGCAACAGCGCGAAGAGCAGCAGAAGAGCCUCGCCCACGCGUGCGGAAACCCCGGCUUGAUGGCAAAGGAAGCAGCUGAUCCAGGCGACGGCGGCGGCAAAGACAAAGGCAGAGGAGCUGGUGGCAAAGCCGGCAGCACAUACGGCGGAGGCACCGGCAAAGACAGCAGGGCAGCACCAAGAGAAGGCAAGCUGUGGAGAUGAUGAAGGCGGGGCAACACCGGACGCAAAGGCGGCGCCGCAGGAGCCGGCCGGCCUCGCCCAUGAUCAGGAGCAACAUCCAUAGUCAAACGGAGACCUGAAACAAAAUAGAUAGACCAAGUCAGAACAAAGGAAGCGAGAGAUGAGGAAUGAACAGAAGCCAACCAUGAAAUCAGCACCUAGAAAGUAAAUCCAAUCAACCAAGGAAGAGGAGGGAAGGAAGAUAGGAACACCGGUCUCUCCGAUGCGGAGACCUAAACGCGGGAACCGAGGAAAAUACCUAGCGUGGAACAAAAUCAGGCAAGGAAUUUGACCGACAAAGCAGGAGAGAGAGAGAAGAAAGAGACACGCAAGAAGGCACGUGGCAAUGAGAUGGUAGCAGGAGUUUCUGUAAGGCAUGCACGAUCAGGUGACGCCCGAUAUGACCGGAGAUUGAAGGUAACCAACAGCGAAUAAACAGGAAGCAACCGGUCAACAGCUGGAGUUUCCACCGGCUCUCCCCGUUACUCAGCAAUUUUAGAAAGGAAAAGAAAGGAGAGAAAAGGAAAGGGACUCUCGCGUGCCAAAUCUAACAGCGCGUGAACAGUGGAAAAAUUAAUCGUGCCUAACCCUGAUUGGUGGAGACGGGUGAGCAACAGUACCCAAAUCAUUCUCCUCACGGCAGAUGGGGUUAACUUUUAUAUAGUUAAUAA
Molecule: long non-coding RNA, 1922 nt
Organism: Lolium perenne
Lineage: Eukaryota; Viridiplantae; Streptophyta; Magnoliopsida; Poales; Poaceae
Source: RefSeq, a predicted model, not a curated record